UGCCAAGACGGGUUUCUGAAAUAGCUAGGAAUUCUCUGCUUAAAAAUCUGCUGCAAAGCGCCAUGGGGCUGAAAGCAUGACCUUGAGUGAGUGUCAGCAGGAUCGAUGGCAUUCGGAGCUUUGAGAAGUUAGAACACAUCAACAUGAUCCUUCCCUUUGCAAGCACUUGGACCUGCAGAUAGAAUAAGAUCCUGCUCGACUUGUUGAGUUCCUUCGGAAGAUUUUGUUUUGCUCCAGCUUCCAGCAUCUGCCAUCUCUUGUGUCACCAUCAACUUUCAUGUCACCUGCGAAUUGCUAAUUAUACUCCCUACUUUCAAAUCCAAGCUGUUAUCACAAACAACCAAGGACCCAACACCACUCCCCGUGAUACACCCACAGGUCACGCAUUGGGAGAAGCAUCCUUUCCCACUCCUCUCUGCCUGCUAUCACCAGGCCAAUUCUGAACCCAGUUGACCAACUUGUCUUGGAUCCCAUAUGCCUUAACCUUAGCCAAUCGCCCAUGGGGACCUUGCCAAAUGUCUUACAAUGUCCAUAACGUUUAUCCCCUUGUCUUAUUCAAUCUUCUUAGUUACCUCCUAUUAAUACUUGGUCAAAAUAGUGAAGCAGGAGCUUCUUCACAAAAAACGAUACUGACUAUCCCUGAGCAGCCCUAACCUUUCCAUAUGUACAUGAACCUUACCCAUUUGCAUUUUCUCCAAUAAUUCCCCACUGACAUAAGGUACAGUAUAUUUGGAAGAUUAAUUCUAUUAAGAAGGUGAUACUAUAAAACCAUAAGACAUAGGAGCAGAAUUAGGCCAUUCAGCCCAUUGAUUCUGCUCCAUCAUGGCUGAUUUAUUAUCCUCUAAACUCCACUCUUCUGACCUCUCCCCAUAACUUUUGAUACACUAACUAAUCACAAUCCUAUUAAACUCUGCUGUAAAUAUGACUUGGCCACCACAGCUGUCCGUGGCAAUAAAUUCAAAAGAUUUGCCACCCUCUGGCUAAAUAAAUUCUUCAUCAUCUCUGUUCUAAGGGGAUAUCAUUCUAUUCUGAGGUUGUGCUCUCUGGUCCUAGAUUCCCCCACAAUAGGAAAUAUCCUCUAUGUUCACUCUAUCUAGGCCUUUCAAUAUUCGAUAGAUUUCAAUGAAAUAUUCCUUUAUUUUUCUAAACUCCAGUGAGCACAGGCCAAGAGCCAUUAAAUGCCCAUCAUAUAUUAACCCUUUCAUUCCCAGGAUCAUUCCUGUGAACCUCCUAUGGAUCGUCUCCAAAACCAACAUGUUCCUUCUUAGAUAACGGGCCCAAAUUUGAUCACAAUUCGGUGCAAUCUGACAAAUGCCUUAUAAAGCCUUAGCAUUAUAUCCUUGUUUUGGUCUUCUAGUCCUUCUGAAGUGGAUGCUAAUAUUGCACUUGCAUUCCUUACCACUGACUGAACCUGCAAGUUAGCCAUAAGGGAAUUCUGCACAAGGACUUUUGCACAUCUGAUUUUUGUUUAGAAGAUAGUCUAUGCCUUUAUUCUUUCUACCAAAUUGCACGACCAUACAUUUCCCUACACUGUAUUCCAUCUACCACUUCUUUUCUCAUUCUCCUAUUCUGUCUAAGUCCUUCUGCGGACUUCUUGUUUCCUCAACUCGACUCACCCCUCCACCUAUCAUUGUAUGGUCUGCAAACUUGGCCACAAAGCCAUCAAUUCCGUCAUCCAAAUCACUGACAUAUAGCGUAAAAAGAAGUGGUCCAGACACCGACUGCUGUGGAACACCACUAAUUACUGGCAGCCAACCAGAAAAGGCCCUCUUUAUUCUCACUCUUUGCCUCCUGCCAGUCAGCCAAUCUUCUAUCUGUGCUAGUAUCUUUUCUGUAACAGGAAACGUGGUAACACUGUUACUCAAGCCUAUCUUUGCUGUAGCUGAGUGGUGUCUGAGAUGUAAAUUUUUUAGGUGAAUUUUUGUUAAAUCUCUUCUACAAGUGUUCCAAUAAAGCAGCUGAAAUAUGGACUUCAGAAAGUUCCUAUAGGCACUAUAAACUCAGUUAUAAACAUAUAUAAACAAUUCAUGUUGGCACC
Molecule: long non-coding RNA, 2038 nt
Organism: Hypanus sabinus (Atlantic stingray)
Lineage: Eukaryota; Metazoa; Chordata; Chondrichthyes; Myliobatiformes; Dasyatidae
Exons: 3
Source: RefSeq, a predicted model, not a curated record